RNAcentral lists this ribosomal RNA (1260 nucleotides) under uncultured archaeon. Its description in RNAcentral is "bacterial SSU rRNA". It matches the Rfam family "Archaeal small subunit ribosomal RNA", at positions 88 to 1348 of the family's 1478-position model. The record is from RNAcentral.
GCUCAGUAACACGUGGAUAACCUACCCUUAGGACUGGGAUAACCUUGGGAAACUGAGGAUAAUACCGGAUAGGCAAUUAUUCCUGUAAUGGUUUUUUGUUUAAAUGUUUUUUCGCCUAAGGAUGGGUCUGCGGCCGAUUAGGUAGUUGGUUAGGUAAUGGCUUACCAAGCCGUUGAUCGGUACGGGUUGUGAGAGCAAGAGCCCGGAGAUGGAACCUGAGACAAGGUUCCAGGCCCUACGGGGUGCAGCAGGCGCGAAACCUCCGCAAUGUGAGAAAUCGCGACGGGGGGAUCCCAAGUGCCAUUCUUAACGGGAUGGCUUUUCAUUAGUGUAAAGAGCUUUUGGAAUAAGAGCUGGGCAAGACCGGUGCCAGCCGCCGCGGUAACACCGGCAGCUCUAGUGGUAACAAUUUUUAUUGGGCCUAAAGCGUCCGUAGCCGGUUUAAUAAGUCUCUGGUGAAAUCCUGUAGCUUAACUGUGGGAAUUGCUGGAGAUACUAUUAGACUUGAGACCGGGAGAGGUUAGAGGUACUCCCAGGGUAGAGGUGAAAUUCUGUAAUCCUGGGAGGACCGCCUGUUGCGAAGGCGUCUAACUGGAACGGUUCUGACGGUGAGGGACGAAAGUUAGGGGCGCGAACCGGAUUAGAUACCCGGGUAGUCCUAACUGUAAACGAUGCGGACUUGGUGUUGGGGUGGCUUUGAGCUGUCUCAGUGCCGAAGGGAAGCUGUUAAGUCCGCCGCCUGGGAAGUACGGUCGCAAGACUGAAACUUAAAGGAACUGGCGGGGGAGCACCACAACGCGUGGAGCCUGCGGUUUAAUUGGAUUCAACGCCGGACAUCUCACCAGAGGCGACAGCUGUAUGAUAGCCAGGUUGAUGACUUUGCUUGACUAGCUGAGAGGAGGUGCAUGGCCGCCGUCAGCUCGUACCGUGAGGCGUCCUGUUAAGUCAGGCAACGAGCGAGACCCACGCCCUUAGUUACCAGCAUAUCCUUUUGGAUGAUGGGCACACUAGGGGGACCGCCUAUGAUAAAUAGGAGGAAGGAGUGGACGACGGUAGGUCCGUAUGCCCCGAAUCCUCUGGGCAACACGCGGGCUACAAUGGCUGAGACAAUGGGUUCCGACACCGAAAGGUGGAGGUAAUCCUCUAAACUUAGUCGUAGUUCGGAUUGAGGACUGUAACUCGUUCUCAUGAAGCUGGAAUGCGUAGUAAUUGCGUAUCACUAUUGCGCGGUGAAUACGUCCCUGCUCCUUGCACACACCG